GAGAACCUCCCGGACCCCACUCUGUUCCUGGGGAUUCGUCCUUCCCACCAGAGCACCGCCAGGAACUGAAGGUAAUUUUCCGUGACUAGAGUGCAGUGUACUUGCACUUGUGAGUGUCCGGGUGGCGAUGGAGGUGUAGUCAAGGGACGGACCUUGCCUGCCAGCUGAAAGUCAAGGGAAGUCAACCAGGCUUCCUGAAGAGGGAAGACUGCCAGGACAUGGAGGAAGAUGGAGGUAUACAGUGGAAGAACUAUGGGUUCUCAUUAUUGCUGAUUUUGGGAGAAACAAUCAGAAACACCCAGGAACUGCAACAGAAAGUCUAUGCCAGCAUAGUUCCAACAAUUAUCCGGAAUUUCCUCAAGGAAUAUUGUCAGGUCUGUGAACCAAAUACCGGCUAUCAACUCUCCUGUAGAAAAGCUAUCAAGAUUCAAAGACAAAGAUGUAGAUGUAAGGCUCUAUUCACCUGUCUGUGUAAUACUGAGGGGGAGGAAGGUGGAGAAGGGUGGUGGUGGUUCAAGAACAGUAUGACAAAUAUCACAUAUAUUUUUCUAUUCUUUGCGUUGGUUGGGUGGGAUGCAAUUUAGAAUGAUUACUUUGAAAAGUACAAUUAAUAAAUUCCCCUCUGUUCUAACCUACCAGAAAUUACUUAUGAUUCAUUCAGCAACAAUUAUUGAGUGUAAACCACGUUCCAGACACUGCACAGGUUCUAAAGAAAAGAGCCAGAAGGGUAAAUACAUACUUAAACUAAGAUUUUGAGUAGCCCUAUUGUAUGGAAAUAAAUGUCUGCCUGCAUUCUAUUAUUUUUUUAUGCUGCCUUUAACUGGAAAUUAUGUAAGAAUCUUUAAA
Molecule: long non-coding RNA, 846 nt
Organism: Prionailurus viverrinus (fishing cat)
Lineage: Eukaryota; Metazoa; Chordata; Mammalia; Carnivora; Felidae
Exons: 5
Source: RefSeq, a predicted model, not a curated record